CUAGAUUGCAAGUUUCAUCACCCUGCUUGCCCCAGGGACUGGAGGCGACGUCGUAGUGGAAUCUGGGCCCUGUGCAAAGAGAACCACACACCACACGUCUCAGGGCACGCACAUUCUCUCUGCUAACCUUGCUACUCAAAAUGUUCAUAAAUCUCGGAGAAACAACACUUCAAAGCAAGCCGAUGGCUUCAGCGAGCUCUGGUCCUUUUCACUGUCUAGCCUUACAAAAUCUAGCUCCAAAUCCUCUAAAACUCUUCUUUUUUUCUUUCCCUUCUUUCUGCCUUUCUGCUCUCUCUUUGGGAAUAUGGCAAGAUUUGCCUCCUGCUCCUCCAUUGGCCUCCUCUGCGGUCAUUCCACCUUCCAUACUUCCCCCACAUCACCCUCCAUAUCUUCUGAGAAACAACGUGGCCUGUUCUUCCUACUCAGAAACUUGUGCUGGGAGGAGGUGCCCAAAGACCAUAUCUGGAUUUGGCACACCUGGAUUUAAGAUGAGCCCCCUUCCUGACCCUUCCACUGGCUUGCAGGCAGAUGUAUCGGAAGAUUAAAAUAUUGAAAAGUAACAUGCAAGAAAAUAACCAGCUGUAUACGAGCUUUCAGAAUCGACCACAGAAAUGACCAUUACAUCACAUCAUUCCAGAAAGCUUUUUGUGCAUAAAGAAAGGAAGAGAGAUCACAGGGAUACUUUACAAGAAUUGGACAAAAAUGCAGAUGCUAUUUUAAUUUGAAGAAUGACAUUUGAUUUUACUUGAAACUUAAAGAAGAGUUGACCUUCAAGUCAUGUUUCUUGACCACAAUAGACCUUACUUGUUGAAAGGUACCUCUGAGAGUAAACAAAAAUUGUGAAAAGCA
This is a long non-coding RNA of Nyctereutes procyonoides (raccoon dog), 849 nucleotides long. RefSeq lists it as uncharacterized. NCBI's taxonomy places the organism in Eukaryota, Metazoa, Chordata, Mammalia, Carnivora, Canidae. The transcript has 2 exons. The record is from RefSeq and is a predicted model, not a curated record.